UACAGAGGUCUCAAGCGUUGUUCGGAAUCACUGGGCGUAAAGGGUGCGUAGGCCGCGCCGUAAGUCAGAUGUGAAAGCCCGGGGCUCAACCCCGGAAUUGCAUCCGAUACUGCGGUGCUAGAGUACUGGAGAGGAGACUAGAAUUCACGGUGUAGCAGUGAAAUGCGUAGAUAUCGUGAGGAAUACCAAAGGCGUAGGCAGGUCUCUGGACAGUUACUGACGCUGAGGCACGAAGGCCAGGGUAGCGAACGGG
This 253-nucleotide ribosomal RNA is filed under the name uncultured bacterium. RNAcentral describes it as "partial 16S ribosomal RNA". It matches the Rfam family "Bacterial small subunit ribosomal RNA", at positions 524 to 776 of the family's 1533-position model. The record is from RNAcentral.